UAUUCUCAAAGAAAAAGAAACACCGCAAGGAGAAAGAAUUUAUUCCGAGCCAUUUCACCUUAACAAGGAUGGCUCGGAUAUUCUCAAAGAAAAAACAAUACCGCAAGGAGGAAGAAUUUAUUCCGGGCCAUUUUACCUAAACAAGGAUCUUGGCUCGGAUAUUCCGACGAAGUAGCAUUUAUUCCAAUCAGUUGAUCCAACGAGCAAGGAGAAGUUAAACGUAAGAGGGG
RNAcentral lists this long non-coding RNA (230 nucleotides) under Panax ginseng (ginseng). RNAcentral describes it as "long non-coding RNA (PGIN_LNC016998)". Lineage: Eukaryota; Viridiplantae; Streptophyta; Magnoliopsida; Apiales; Araliaceae. The record is from RNAcentral.